This 492-nucleotide ribosomal RNA is filed under the name uncultured bacterium. Its description in RNAcentral is "partial 16S ribosomal RNA". It matches the Rfam family "Bacterial small subunit ribosomal RNA", at positions 28 to 505 of the family's 1533-position model. The record is from RNAcentral.
GACGAACGCUGGCGGCGUGCUUAACACAUGCAAGUCGAACGGUGAAGCGCCUUCCUUUUUGGUGGGUGUGGAUGAGUGGCGAACGGGUGAGUAACACGUGAGUAACCUGCCCCCUUCUUCUGGAUAACCGCAUGAAAGUGUGGCUAAUACGGGAUAUUCUGGGUCUGUCGCAUGAUGGGUCUGGGAAAGAUAUUGUUUCGGUGGGGGAUGGGCUCGCGGCCUAUCAGCUUGUUGGUGGGGUGAUGGCCUACCAAGGCGGUGACGGGUAGCCGGCCUGAGAGGGUGGACGGUCACACUGGGACUGAGACACGGCCCAGACUCCUACGGGAGGCAGCAGUGGGGAAUAUUGCACAAUGGGCGCAAGCCUGAUGCAGCGACGCCGCGUGAGGGAGGGAGGCCUUCGGGGUGUGAACCUCUUUCGCCAGUGAAGCAGGCCUGCCUCGUUUGUGGGUGGGUUGACGGUAGCUGGAUAAGAAGCGCCGGCUAACUACG